This is a transfer RNA of 69 nucleotides. It matches the Rfam family "tRNA". Rfam says of the family: Transfer RNA (tRNA) molecules are approximately 80 nucleotides in length. Their secondary structure includes four short double-helical elements and three loops (D, anti-codon, and T loops).
AGUUAUAAUAGUUUAAAUCAAAACAUUGGUUUUGUAAACCAAAAUUAAAUCUUUAUAUUUUUAUAACUU